AGAGAGAGAGAGAAAUUGGAAAUUGUAAUCAUCUUUCUUCCUUUGCUCUUGGUUUCUUGUUUUGUAGGGGGGCCUGGUGGUGGUGGUUGUAGUUGUGGUUGUUUCUUUCUUUCUUUCUCUGGAGACAUUCCUUGCUGUCAAUGGCUUAAUUAUCCACUUGAUUGGACUGUAUUCUAAUUCUCCUGUCUCUCUGUCGCUUCUUUUCGCUUUGGGUUUUCAUUCUUUUGUUGUUGUGGGUUUGCUUCAGUGACUGAGAACUGAGAAAAGAGUGAUUUGGUUCUUCUCUUCCGAGUUGAAAGCAUUUCGGCUUUGUUGUUUUGAGUGUGAAGUUCAUCACUGAAAAAAAUGACAGUCGAGGAAAGGCUUGUGAGUGCUGGGAACGAUGAACCCAAAGAUCGGUUCCCUGUGGGUAUGCGUGUUCUUGCGGUAGACGACGAUCCCACAUGCCUGAAGUUACUGGAUAAUCUGCUGCGUCGAUGCCAGUAUCAUGUUACUACGACCAACCAAGCAGUCACGGCGCUCCAGAUGCUGAGAGAGAAUAAAAACAAGUUCGACCUGGUUAUCAGUGAUGUUCAUAUGCCUGACAUGGAUGGUUUCAAGCUUCUCGAGCUUGUUGGUCUUGAGAUGGACUUACCUGUCAUAAUGUUAUCGGCAAAUAGUGACACCAAAGUCGUGAUGAAGGGGAUUACCCAUGGUGCAGUUGACUAUUUGCUAAAACCUGUUCGAAUUGAGGAGCUCAAGAAUAUAUGGCAACAUGUACUGAGGAGAAGGAAGUUUGAUUCUAAGGACCAAAAUAAUUCCAACAAUCCAGAGAAGACUCAGGGAUCCGGUGAAGGUGGACAAUUGAGUCCUGCAGGAGGAAAUGCAGACAAGAAUGCUAAACAAAACAGGAAAAGGAAGGACCAGAAUGAAGAUGAGGACGAGGACUAUGAGGAGAAUGGACAUGAGAAUGAGGACGCAGACCCGGCAACUCAGAAGAAGCCUCGAGUUGUAUGGUCUGUUGAACUGCACCGCAAGUUUGUAGCUGCAGUUAAUCAUUUGGGAAUCGACAAGGCUGUACCUAAGAGGAUUCUAGAUCUGAUGAAUGUAGACGGGCUUACUCGAGAGAAUGUGGCGAGCCACCUUCAGAAAUACAGACUUUACCUAAAAAGGAUCAGUUGUGUGGCAAGUCAGCAAGCUAAUAUGGUUGCUGCUUUAGGUGGUAACGAUUCCUCCUAUCUGCGAAUGGGUUCACUGGAUGGAUUUGGCGAUUUUCAUACCUUAAAUGGAUCAGGUCAGCUCACAAAUGCUGCUCUUACAUCUCUCCCACCUGCUGGAAUGUUUGGUCGGUUAAACACCCCUGCUGGUUUGGGCAUUCGGGGUCGUGCUCCAUCUGGAAUGAUUCAACUUGGUCGAGCCCAAAACUCUAGCAACCCCAUCAAUGAUCUGGGGAAGCUCCGGCCUGCUGUCUUAUCUGGAAAUCGAAAUGGAAAUUUAUUGCAAGGGAUGCCAACAUCAUUGGAACUUGAUCAACUACAACAGAACAAGUGCAUUUCCCGAAUUGGAGAAUUCUCUGGUCGCAAUGAACAAACUGUUUUUCAAGUAGCCAGCGGGGGCUUCUCAGAAACGGCAGUGACUAUUGGUAGUUCAAGCAACUCUUUUCUCACUGUCCCAAAUAAUCCAUUGAUGCUACAAGGACACCCACAACAGACACAAAAUAGAGGAUUGGGAAAUCAAUCUUCUGUUAGUGUGGCUCCACGGAAUCCAGAACCUUUUGGCAUUAGCGGUGGUGUAUCUUCUCAUGUGCCUGAUCAGAAUAGAUGUAAUGAGAACUGGCAAAGUGCUGUGCCAUUAAAUGGAUUUUCAUCAAACUCUUUGCCGUUGAAUGCUCCUUUUAAUCAUGCUGAUUUGGCUCCUAGUAACUUGAUGGACACUAUUUCUCCAAUGGGCUCACACAUUGGGAACAACCCACUUGAUAUUUCUUCCACAAGCGUAGUACCGGCACCUCUUCAGGAUUCAAGAAGAGAUAUACAAUGCCAAGCAAGCAUCUUGCUUGGUAACAAUGUUCAGCAUGAUAGUCCAAAAUUUUCGAACUUUGGAGGCUUGGGCAAUAAUUUAGACCAGAGUUUGAAUGUUCCAAAGCAAAGAUGGGAAGACCAUAAACAGGAUUACACCCACAACUCAAAUCUUCUCUUUAGUUCUAUCAACUCUUCUCUCCCUACCCAUGGUGUUGUAAAUCAAUUAACCCAGAGUUUGGGCCACAACAAUGCAGUCUGCAACCGAAAUGUGGAUACUACUCUGCUUGCCCAAUCAAAUGCUGGUGCAUAUUUGAUGCAGCAUAACAUGAUGGAGAAGUCAGCUAAUGACACAUCAUUAGGGCUGAAGGAUGAGUACUCAAUGGAGCAAACUAAGCCACACAGUGGAUUCAUGUCUGAUAGUUGUGGCUCUUUAGAAGAACUAAUGGCUGCAAUGAUUAAACAGAUAACAGCUAUAUAUUAAUUAGUUUGCUUCUGAAUUAUUUAUGGACAGUGAAUAUGAUUUGAAGGUUGUCUCCGAUGCAGGAACUGUCAAAUGGCUGCCUCCUCCUUACAGAACAACAGGAAGCGAAGUUAAUGGAUGGAGGAGACAUUGGAUGUGAAUUUUACCCUGUUAGAACAUGUAUCUGAAACUUGGAGAAUUACUCCUUUUAGCAAGAAGGGGUCGCAACAAUAUAGAUGCAUUCCUUGGGGAGUUUGUAUCAUCAUGUUGUGUUCUUUAUUAUGUAUUUCUGUAUGUUGAUAAAUUCUAUUUCUUAGUUCCCAAUGGAUUUUACUUUCCUGUUCUUCUUUUCUGUCCAUGUCCCUUGUUCUCUUUUCUGACAUGGAACAUUGGCAUGUGAAUCCCUUCAACUGUCAAGGUUCGAUGAUUUCCAUCCAUUAUAAACCAUGUACAAAGUUAAUAUUUAUAAAGUGGUGAAUGCUUCAAACU
Molecule: RNA transcript, 2946 nt
Organism: Telopea speciosissima
Lineage: Eukaryota; Viridiplantae; Streptophyta; Magnoliopsida; Proteales; Proteaceae
Gene name: two-component response regulator ARR12-like
Exons: 7
Source: RefSeq, a predicted model, not a curated record